Molecule: long non-coding RNA, 227 nt
Filed under: Phoenix dactylifera (date palm)
Lineage: Eukaryota; Viridiplantae; Streptophyta; Magnoliopsida; Arecales; Arecaceae
Description: long non-coding RNA (PDAC_LNC018021)
Source: RNAcentral
GUCAAUUCCAAACGGAAGAGGGAGAAACGAGGAGUGCUCUGUUAGCUGGACACAGGGGAUGAGGAUGAAGUUUCGGAUGGAGAAGGAUGCGGACGCGAGAUGAACUCGGGAUGUUGGGAAAGCUGGACUCUAUUUUGAAGCUUAAAACAGGGGAGGAAAGGGAUGACGUGGAAGCUUGUUCUCUAAGCACUUAAAGGGUGACGUGGACAUGGGUUCAGCUGCAAACG